AACAUCCUGGAAUGCUCGAGGCCCCUUCUUUUUUUGAACCUACAUCGACUUAAACGGGACUCCAAGAUCGCACUGCGGAUGUCAGGCCGUCAUUAUGCAGCGGAAGGCAGAAGCAGUGUUGAGGACACCCACCUGGCUGCGGCUAGGCGUCAAUGGGAAGGGAACGACAUUUCGGGACUUAA
This 182-nucleotide non-coding RNA is filed under the name Blautia luti DSM 14534 = JCM 17040. RNAcentral's name for it is "6S RNA". It matches the Rfam family "6S / SsrS RNA". Rfam says of the family: E. coli 6S RNA was the first non coding RNA to be sequenced, but its function was unknown until recently. It consists of 184 nucleotides that fold into an extended hairpin structure with a large single-stranded internal bulge. RNAcentral also lists the same sequence under 1 other name. Lineage: Bacteria; Bacillati; Bacillota; Clostridia; Lachnospirales; Lachnospiraceae. The record is from RNAcentral.